This is a non-coding RNA of Mycena albidolilacea, 93 nucleotides long. Lineage: Eukaryota; Fungi; Basidiomycota; Agaricomycetes; Agaricales; Mycenaceae. The record is from the annotation of a GenBank genome assembly.
UCGGACAUGGUGUAUGGUGCACCGCCCUCAAUAUUAGCCAGUGGCCACUCUAAAUUUCUAGGGCUGGACGGGGUUCGAUUCCCUGUGUCCGAA